Molecule: transfer RNA, 62 nt
Filed under: Carassotrema koreanum
Lineage: Eukaryota; Metazoa; Platyhelminthes; Trematoda; Plagiorchiida; Haploporidae
Description: tRNA-Leu
Source: RNAcentral
UUAGGGGUGCCAGACAAUAUGGGGUUGAUUUAGGAUUAAUUUAUGGCUUUUGCCCCCCUAAA